Molecule: ribosomal RNA, 225 nt
Filed under: uncultured Acidovorax sp.
Lineage: Bacteria; Pseudomonadati; Pseudomonadota; Betaproteobacteria; Burkholderiales; Comamonadaceae
Description: partial 16S ribosomal RNA
Rfam family: Bacterial small subunit ribosomal RNA
Source: RNAcentral
ACAAACCGGAGGAAGGUGGGAUGACGUCAAGUCCUCAUGGCCCUUAUAGGUGGGGCUACACACGUCAUACAAUGGAUGGUACAAAGGGUCGCCAACCCGCGAGGGGGAGCCAAUCCCAUAAAGCCAUUCGUAGUCCGGAUCGCAGUCUGCAACUCGACUGCGUGAAGUCGGGAUCGCUAGUAAUCGUGGAUCAGAAUGUCACGGUGAAUACGUUCCCGGGUCCUU